Neltuma alba is the source of this 719-nucleotide long non-coding RNA. RefSeq lists it as uncharacterized. NCBI's taxonomy places the organism in Eukaryota, Viridiplantae, Streptophyta, Magnoliopsida, Fabales, Fabaceae. The record is from RefSeq and is a predicted model, not a curated record. The transcript is spliced from 3 exons.
UUUUAUAGAUGGAAAUAUUUCCUUGCGAGUUUUGAUAAAGUGUAACGAUGCAGCGUGUUAUGUUUGGGUGCUUUAUGCGGUCAACUUUAGGGAUGAUCCUUUGCAACUAAUAUUUCCUCGAAUCUAUCAUUGAUUCAAUGACUUCUGUCUGGGUAAAUUGAACACAUGCAAGAAUAUGAGGAAAGGUGCAGCUAAGUGGACUAGAAGGAGAUCUUAUCCAUUGAGGAAGUAUUGUGUCUAUGAAAUCCUAUGCUGAAAGGUGCUUAGCUUCUUCAUGGGUUUCAGUACAUGGUAUUUCCUACAGGUCGUAUGAUGCCAGUUGUAAAGGAGGAACGUUGAGGGCUACAUUGAUACUUCUAUUACCAAUAUUAAGCCGUUCCAUGGACAUGAAGACUGUUGAAUAAUUUAUCUGGGAUCACUUGAAAACCAAAACACGUCCAAUUUUUGAUCGUUUGGUGAAACAGUAAAUGCAUCAGUAUUACAUUUAUUCGUUUAUGGAUGAGAUAGAUAUUAGAGGAGCUUAAAAGUAGGUGAGAAAAUUCAUAGAGCAACACUGAAAAGCUUUUCUGGAAAGGCUAUGGACCCUGUUUCACUUAUGAAUGUAUUGUACCGGAAUAUUACAUAUUUUAUAUUAUAGGUGAGCUUGGCUGCCAAGUUUGAACUUUGAAUGAAUAUCUUCAUUUCAACAAUGGGUUGGAUGAAUAUGAUUGCAUGGCAAA